RNAcentral lists this ribosomal RNA (1240 nucleotides) under metagenome. RNAcentral's name for it is "bacterial LSU rRNA". It matches the Rfam family "Bacterial large subunit ribosomal RNA", at positions 1564 to 2815 of the family's 2925-position model. The record is from RNAcentral.
UGAAUACGAGACGCUAAGGCGUCGAAGUAGUGUAUAUCAGACUUCCAAGAAAAGCUUGCACUGUCAUAGAUAAAAAAUGCCUGUACCAUAACCGACACAGGUGGGUAGGUAGAGUAUACUAAGGGGCGCGAGAUAACUCUCUCUAAGGAACUCGGCAAAAUAACUCCGUAACUUCGGGAGAAGGAGUGCCUUAUUUAUAAGGUUGCAAUAACAAGAUCCAAGCAACUGUUUAUCAAAAACACAGGUCUCCGCUAAGUCGUAAGACGAUGUAUGGGGGCUGACGCCUGCCCAGUGCCAGAAGGUUAAGAAGUUGGUUAGCAAUUGCGAAGCUGAUAACUGAAGCCCUGGUGAACGGCGGCCGUAACUAUAACGGUCCUAAGGUAGCGAAAUUCCUUGUCGGGUAAGUUCCGACCCGCACGAAAGGCGUAAUGAUUUGGAUACUGUCUCGGAGAGGGGCUCGGUGAAAUAGACUUGUCUGUGAAGAUGCGGACUACCUGCACCAGGACAGAAAGACCCUAUGAAGCUUUACUGUAACUUGAAAUUGAAAUUGGACUUUAUUCGCGCAGCAUAGGUGGGAGGCGUUGAUUAUAAUCUUGCGGGAUUAUUGGAGCCAUCAGUGAGAUACCACUCUUGUAAUGUUAGAUUUCUAACUUUGAAUCAUUAUCUGGUCAAAGAACAGUUUCAGGCGGGCAGUUUGACUGGGGCGGUCGCCUCCUAAAUGGUAACGGAGGCGUACAAAGGUUUCCUCUGAACGGUUAGAAAUCGUAUCUAGAGUGUAAAGGCAUAAGGAAGCUUGACUGUGAGCCUACAAGUCGAGCAGGGACGAAAGUCGGUCUUAGUGAUCUGACGGUACUGAGUGGAAAGGCCGUCACUCAACGGAUAAAAGUUACUCUAAGGAUAACAGGCUGAUCUCCCCCAAGAGUUCACAUCGACGGGGAGGUUUGGCACCUCGAUGUCGGCUCAUCGCAUCCUGGGGCGGUAGUACGUCCCAAGGGUUGGGCUGUUCGCCCAUGAAAGCGGUACGCGAGCUGGGUUCAGAACGUCGUGAGACAGUUCGGUCCAUAUCCGGUGUAGGCGUUAGAAUAUUGAGAGGAGCCUUCUUUAGUACGAGAGGACCGAGAAGGACAUACCUCUGGUGUACCAGUUAUCGUGCCAACGGUAAACGCUGGGUAGCUAUGUAUGGAGUGGAUAACCGCUGAAAGCAUCUAAGUGGGAAGCCCACCUCAAGAUAAGUAUUCUC